UACGGAGGGAGCUAGCGUUGUUCGGAAUUACUGGGCGUAAAGCGCGCGUAGGCGGUCCAUCAAGUCAGAGGUGAAAGCCCGGGGCUCAACCCCGGAACUGCCUUUGAAACUGGCGGACUAGAAUCUUGGAGAGGCGAGUGGAAUUCCGAGUGUAGAGGUGAAAUUCGUAGAUAUUCGGAAGAACACCAGUGGCGAAGGCGACUCGCUGGACAAGUAUUGACGCUGAGGUGCGAAAGCGUGGGGAGCAAACAGGAUUAGAUACCCCGGUAGU
RNAcentral lists this ribosomal RNA (271 nucleotides) under uncultured bacterium. Its description in RNAcentral is "partial 16S ribosomal RNA". It matches the Rfam family "Bacterial small subunit ribosomal RNA", at positions 524 to 794 of the family's 1533-position model. The record is from RNAcentral.